GACAGAGGGUGCAAACGUUGUUCGGAAUUACUGGGCGUAAAGCGCGUGUAGGCGGCUAAGUAGGUCGGGCGUGAAAUCCCACGGCUCAACCGUGGAAGUGCACUCGAAACUGCAUAGCUAGAGUCCUGGAGAGGAAGGUGGAAUGCUUGGUGUAGAGGUGAAAUUCGUAGAUAUCAAGCGGAACACCGGUGGCGAAGGCGGCCUUCUGGACAGUGACUGACGCUGAGACGCGAAAGCGUGGGGAGCAAACAGG
Molecule: ribosomal RNA, 253 nt
Filed under: uncultured bacterium
Lineage: Bacteria
Description: partial 16S ribosomal RNA
Rfam family: Bacterial small subunit ribosomal RNA
Source: RNAcentral